This 492-nucleotide ribosomal RNA is filed under the name uncultured bacterium. RNAcentral's name for it is "partial 16S ribosomal RNA". It matches the Rfam family "Bacterial small subunit ribosomal RNA", at positions 29 to 507 of the family's 1533-position model. The record is from RNAcentral.
AGUGAACGCUGGCGGUAGGCCUAACACAUGCAAGUCGAACGGCAGCACAGUAAGAGCUUGCUCUUACGGGUGGCGAGUGGCGGACGGGUGAGGAAUACAUCGGAAUCUACUUUUUCGUGGGGGAUAACGUAGGGAAACUUACGCUAAUACCGCAUACGACCUACGGGUGAAAGCAGGGGAUCUUCGGACCUUGCGCGAUUGAAUGAGCCGGUGUCGGAUUAGCUAGUUGGCGGGGUAAAGGCCCACCAAGGCGACGAUCCGUAGCUGGUCUGAGAGGAUGAUCAGCCACACUGGAACUGAGACACGGUCCAGACUCCUACGGGAGGCAGCAGUGGGGAAUAUUGGACAAUGGGCGCAAGCCUGAUCCAGCCAUACCGCGUGGGUGAAGAAGGCCUUCGGGUUGUAAAGCCCUUUUGUUGGGAAAGAAAAGCAGCAGGUUAAUACCCCGCUGUUUUGACGGUACCCAAAGAAUAAGCACCGGCUAACUUCGUG